GCACUCUGAGUCAAAGCAAAAACGGAGGAGCCAAUAGUUGAUCUGGUCCCUCCCUCUCCCUUUCCACCUGCAGCACCACCAGCCGCAACCGAACAUGCGAGCAGCUACCAGUAGUAUGAGCAACAGCUGCAUUAGGUGCAUCAACUCUUCAGUGUCUUAUGUUGCUUCUCUUAAAAUAAACUUGAUGGUUUAGAAGUGGAACUACAUUACUGCAACUAUUAAAGUCGGAAAACUAACUCAUGGAAUUUUAUGAAUGUUUUUUAAUGUGAAUGUUUAUUUGACCCUUUAUAAUCUAGACAAUUUUAUUAUAAUCACUGUGAUAAUCGGUGGAAGGCUUGUUGGUUAGUGGCCUAAUAUGUGUUACCAAUAUUUGGUUGGUAUCUAAUAAUUGCUAAAUUAUGUUUGAUAGAUAUAUUGCACCAAGGCUGGGUGGUCACAUACAAAACAAGCCUUUUUUAUUUUAGGCAUCAUUGUUGGAUUUGUAUAAUUUUGAUUGUAUAACUAACAUGGCUUUCGGGUUGGAAUAUUUACCAUGUAUUAUCAUUUAUGAAACAUAGUUCUAAGAUUGAGUCAUGAUUGUUGCUAUUUUUCAUUCACCAAACAAACUUUGCGACACCUGACCCGAGUUAGUCAAGUCUGACUUUCCACUGUAGUAUUAUUUUUGCUGACACACUUAUGGAGCAAUACAGUCUUAUGCAAAUGCAAAUUAGCACUUUGAAAUGCAAAGAUGUCUAUUGUUCAUAUUAUUUUAUAUGAGGUAGCCCUGCACACAUCAUACGAAGAAGGUGAUAAUUUGCAAAUGCAAAUUAACAUUUUGAACUACAUAGAGGUAUGUUGUUCAUAUUAUUUCCUAUGAGGUAGUCCUACACACAUCAUAUGAAGAAGGUGAUGAUUUUGCUAUUUUAGUCAUGUUAAUUUGUAUCAAUCUUUUCCAUUCCGAUUUAGGGUGCACUAAUUUAUUUGGACAUGCAUAGCUAUAUAGAGCAAGCUAUGUAUGCUUACGUUAUCCAAAUUUGCUCAUUCACAUGGAAUACAUGUCCCCUUAGAGAAAUCUGGAGGGGACUUGUGGAAAUCCUAGGCUGUUAUUUGUAGACCAAGGUGGUACCUUGUUGGACCACUUGGGUUAUCAAGGGGUAGUAAUUCCACAACAUAAAUCUACAACACUGGAUCAUUUAAGUGAUUUAGGAUUAUGGUAUUUUGCUUUUAGCUACCGAGAAGUUGAUAUGAUAUAAUUACUUGUUUGCUGCUCUGUACGAAUGAAUGAUUUAUAUACUAUACCACAAGGUUCAAAGCAGCAUGGAUUUGCUCGCUCUAUUAGGUAAAAGUAUCUAAGUUUAUUUGGUAUUGAUGGCCUUUCUACCUCUAUUUCUGUAUACAUACAAUUUAGAUGGAUUUUAGGUGGAAUGAUUCUCUUGUUUAUUUGUUACAGUAAAAUGGAUCUUAAAUGUUCAUAGAAUGUAUUUCGGUUGUUUAUUCAAUAUUUAAUAAUCCAUUUUUUAUUUGAGCAUAAGGUUUAAACCUUAUGCUCAAAUAAAAAAUGGAUUAUUAAAUUUGACUGUUGCUUUUACAUUAAAAUUUUAAUACCGUUUUCAGUGAGAUGCCGGAAUAGUGCAAUUGAUUCAAAAGAUCAUGUAUUUCUAGCCAUGCCCAGCUCCUUACAGACUCCAACCAAUUAUCUUGAGUUGUCUAGCUCUUUGCGGACUCCAACCAAUUACCUUGAGCUAUUCAUAAUAUAUUCAUUCCGUAGCAACGUACGGGCGUUUAACUAGGGCGCGGUCCGCACGACGCGCGCCGCUGGACUGGCCGACCAGGCUCAAGGUGUUCCGGGCAACAUCCUGCUGGACUCGGUGUUCCGGGCCAAGGUCGCCGACUUCGGCCUUGCCAGGAUGCUGGCGCAGGCCGGGGCGCCAUAGACCAUGUCCGCCGUGGCCAGCUCAUUCGGCUACAUGGCUCCCGUUGAUUUCAUCUUCGCUCACUUUCUUUCUAUUCGAUUUUGGCCCCUGCAGAUUGCAAGAACGGGACUGCUAAGCAAGCUAAGAUUUCAUUUUUUUCUGGAUCAAUCUCAAAUUAGGAUUUCUCGGGGAGCGGAGGGUCGGCCAGGACCUGAUUGGGCUCCAGGGCGCGAUCUUUGAGCGCAGAUUUGGUGCCCGCGAUCUGCCUUGGAUUUGAUUUAAGAUUUGGGGAGAUCGGUUGUGUUCGCCCUGCGAGAUCCUAUUAUUUUCAUUCAGUGACUGAACCUGCCGAGACUGAAGCAAGGAGGGACAGAGCAAAAAACUCUCUUGAGAACUGGGCAUCCAAUCAGAAAGAUCAAGAAUCCUUUGCAAAAGCCUCCGAACCGGCGGCGGUGGUAGAAGUCGGUCUCGGGCCACGAUGGCGUCGAGCGCUGGCGGCGCGUCGUCGUCGCUGGUGAAGAACGAGCCCUACAUGCGUGCUGUCAAGAUCUACCUCAAGAGCCUAGACAUCCAAAUGGAGAAACAGCUAGCCAAGACAUGGAGAAGCACAACGGGUCGUAAGGGAGGACUGGGAGAUCGACCUCGCCAAGCUUCUAUCAACCAAAAGAAAAUCAUGCUCCUCAACAGAUAGCAGAACAUCCUAUUUGAAAUGAGUUUGUGAAUAAGUGGCGCACGACGAUAGCGGGCGAUUCAUAUCGCGGGUGGUUCCAGACGUGGGCACCGGGCGUGAGAUUUUUAAUGCCUACUGCUCGCUCCACAUGAUCAUUUAUCACUGGCUCCAGCAUGUCAUGCUGCUCAUGCUGCUGCAAGGGUGGCAAAUAAGAAGCUUGUCCACAUGUUCAUAGGUGAAGGACAGAUCUGAAUGGAGCUCGAUGGGUGCAGGUAGUACCAAUUGCACAUCUGGUGUCUCAAGAAGUUCACUAAGGAUUAUGGUAUGACCUUUUUCUUCCUGGCAAAAGCAUGUCAACUUUGUCGAUUCCCUCAUUUUUGUUAUCGAUUGAUUUGGAAAUUAUGCUGGUGAUGAAGGGAUUGUCUAUGUUUGGAAAGAAUGGUUCCAGAACAAAAUACCAUUAUAAUGAAAUAAUUAGUUAUUUAGACCUAUUUAUACCUGGUAAACUUAUGGGCUUCUUUACAACAAAAAAGGUUCUUAUGUUACAGUAGACACUAGCACAUACAACAGACUUCUUGUGAUGCUCCAAAGUUGAUGAAAGGAACCUGGGGCAAUAGCAUAAAAUGACUUGCAUAACCUUGGUUACCAAAAUAAGCUGAAUAACUAUGAGCACUCCCAUCUGUUUCGAAAGAAUUGAGAGCCACCUUCAUCCAUACAUGGAUUACCUAUUUCUCCAUGUCAGUUUGCAAAUAAUUCCAUUAAGGAGUGCCGGGGUUGCCGCUUUGUUGAAGCUCAAGUGUAAGCAGAGACGAAGCGUCGUGUGAAAAACUGAGAUGGAUAGGGAGUGGCCUCUCAUGUGUGUGCAUCAAGAGAAAAGGCACGUAUGAAAGAAUAUGCAAGAACUUCAGACCCGUACAGGAACAAGCAUUGCUGCAUUGGAAACAAUCUGGAAUGCAUUGGGCUUUAACGUGUCUGGGCGUAAGUGAAAGCUAAAUGUAUUCAUUCAACUUGUAGUAAAUUGUCUUGGUCAUCUUAUCACUACAGCUGAGCUGUUCAGUGCGCUUAGAGGUCGUCUUUACGACAGCAACAAAAAUUUAGUAAUGGCAACAUUGUCCACCAUUGGUGGUCUUGUAUCUGCUAUGGGACCUUCUGUUGAAAAGUCAAGCAAGGGUAUUUUGGCAGAUGUGCUGAAGUGUCUUGGUGACAAUAAGAAGCACAUGCGAGAAUGCACAUUGACUGCUCUAGAUUCGUUGGUUGCUGCAGCCCAACUUGAAAAGAUGGUUCCAUAUAUUAUAGUGUCUUUGGGUGAUCAGAAAACAGUUCAGAAGGGCGAAAAGAUCUCUUUGAUUGGUUGUCUAAGCAUGUUUCAAAAAUAGGUGAUUCAUCUGAGGCUUUGCCAUUGUUGAAGCCAUCUGCAUCUUCUUUGAUGGAUAAAUCUUCUAAAGUUCGCAAAGCUGCUGAAUCCUUUAUGAAUGAAAUUCUCAGGAUCUGUGGCCAAGAAAUGGUGGGACGGAAAUUGAAAGAUUUGCCAUCACCUACUUUGGCCAUUGUAUCAGAAAGGCUGAAACUGUCUACUUUGAAAGAUUUGCCAUCACCUACUUUGGCCAUUGUAUCAGAAAGGCUGAAACUGUCUACUGCACAUGAAGGAUUUUCUGAAUCUGUUAAGGUGGUGUCAACAAGCAUGAGUUUGCCAUCAAAAGCAGGUUUAAAGAACAAUAAACAUGGUCCUAACGAUCGUGGUUCUAAUGUGGGCAAACCUGUG
Long non-coding RNA from Zea mays, 4324 nucleotides. RefSeq lists it as uncharacterized. The transcript is spliced from 11 exons. The record is from RefSeq and is a predicted model, not a curated record. NCBI's taxonomy places the organism in Eukaryota, Viridiplantae, Streptophyta, Magnoliopsida, Poales, Poaceae.